GUAAGUGGCAGUGCCAACAGCCCCUCCAGUGCUGUGCUCUGGUAUAAAUAUGUCUGCUUCUCCACUGCAACUCUACAGACUCCAAAAUCCUCCCUGGCUCUCCUCUGUGGCUAUGCAGAGACACUUGUGUGUAAAGUUACUGGUGGAGGUACCAUAACAUGUCGUGAAGGCCUUGAUGUUUGUUUCAGAAAUACUGCUUAUAUUACAAGUGACGCUAUUACGCUUAGAGGAUGCAUGUUUUCAAAACUUUGUUAUGCUGCGCAGUACUGUUGCAAAACCGACAAAUGCAAUGCAUAAUUAACAUGCUUCCAAAUGCAUCCUUGAAGGAAAUAAAAUCUAAAGCAUCUUACCCUGUGUCUCUGGUCCUU
Acipenser ruthenus (sterlet) is the source of this 368-nucleotide long non-coding RNA. RefSeq lists it as uncharacterized. Lineage: Eukaryota; Metazoa; Chordata; Actinopteri; Acipenseriformes; Acipenseridae. The record is from RefSeq and is a predicted model, not a curated record. The transcript has 3 exons.